UUUAUACAUUAAUUUCAAACUAUCCCGCCCUUUUAAAAUUUCACACUAAAAAAUUUCACUUUCCCUUCUUUCUCAAACAUAUCUAUACAAACUAGCCCAUUUACCGACUUUCUCCUCUUCUUGUUCAUUUUUUAUCCUCUAGAAACGAUAACGUUUUGGUCUCUUUUUAAUCCUCCAGAAAUGACGGACGAAAGAAAACCUAGCCCAUUUACCGACUUUCUCCUCUUCUUGUUCCUUCCUCAAGAUGAAGAUCUAUCUGUCAACCGACGUUCCCGUAAAAUCAAAAGUUGCUGCAAGUUCAUGCAUCCAACGUGACUAUGCUGCUUCGGCUUCCAGAGUAGAGCAGUAGCUCUUCGAGAUCAAAUAGUGCAUAGAUCUCAUUCAAGGGAGAGAUCUGAGCACAAAUGAAGUUCACGAUCUUGUUUGCACUCCAACAGGAAUCAACGAGUCCACAUAUUGCUGAGAAUUUGGUAAUGAUUUUCCUAGAAUUGAAAAUGCCAUUAUUACGCUGUCGUGUAUUUAGGCAUUUAUAGUUUUGGCAAUUUGUUUAUCAUGUGACGCAAUUUGGUUAUGCAGGUGACAAAGAACACAAUGAUGAUUGCCAAAAAAUUCUUAGACUUGUGGGAAUACCUAUGAUUGAGGCUCCGUCCGAAGCAGAAGCAGCGUGUGGCACUUUGCAAAGAGGUUGAUAUGAGUUAGUAUUGUUGUUUGAGAUGAAGGUGAAAUUAAUGUAAUUUUGUGUAACUUUGGAUGAUAAAUUCAUGGAAUGAAAAUGUUUGCAAUUCGUAUUUGU
Molecule: long non-coding RNA, 793 nt
Organism: Olea europaea var. sylvestris
Lineage: Eukaryota; Viridiplantae; Streptophyta; Magnoliopsida; Lamiales; Oleaceae
Exons: 3
Source: RefSeq, a predicted model, not a curated record